RNAcentral lists this ribosomal RNA (499 nucleotides) under uncultured bacterium. Its description in RNAcentral is "partial 16S ribosomal RNA". It matches the Rfam family "Bacterial small subunit ribosomal RNA", at positions 28 to 507 of the family's 1533-position model. The record is from RNAcentral.
GACGAACGCUGGCGGCGUGCCUAAUACAUGCAAGUCGAGCGAAGUUUUUCUGGUGCUUGCACUAGAAAAACUUAGCGGCGAACGGGUGAGUAACACGUAAAGAACCUGCCUCAUAGACUGGGACAACUAUUGGAAACGAUAGCUAAUACCGGAUAACAGUAUUUCUCGCAUGAGAGAUAUUUAAAAGUUGGUUAUGCUAACACUAUGAGAUGGCUUUGCGGUGCAUUAGCUAGUUGGUGGGGUAAAGGCCCACCAAGGCGACGAUGCAUAGCCGACCUGAGAGGGUGAUCGGCCACACUGGGACUGAGACACGGCCCAGACUCCUACGGGAGGCAGCAGUAGGGAAUCUUCCGCAAUGGGCGAAAGCCUGACGGAGCAACGCCGCGUGAGUGAAGAAGGAUUUCGGUUCGUAAAGCUCUGUUGUUAGGGAAGAAUGGAUAUGUAGUAACUAUACAUGUAAGAGACGGUGCCUAACCAGAAAGCCACGGCUAACUACGUG